AGCCGUCGCUGUGCCGGCUCCUGGUCAAGAUCCGCGAUCUGUGCCGCCUGCAAUUGAGAGAAAAGCAAGCCGCCCGUCCUGUCGCUAUUGUCUUUCAAGCACGCACGGAAGAUACGAUGCAGCUACAAAUUUGAGAGGAGACUUUGCUAUCCCACUCCUCUCUACACCGAAGAACGGAAGUCGGAUAGUCGCGAGGAGCACGAAGAAGAAGCGAGAAAUUAAAACUAUCACACUUUAUAAAUGAUUGAGGUUACCUAACCUCAAUCACGUAUCAGGAAUAUUUGCGAACACGCAUAUUCGCGCGCCGUUAUCUGGCCGUUUGGUUGGCUGGAUGUGACACAGCCGAAUUUCAAACAGCAUCAGCUAUGCCGACAUCUUGCCUUCUAGACGUCCAGUCGAAAGAAGCGAAAAAUCGUAAUCAUUCAUUCGUCGGACGAUUUGACUUGUUGGGGGAAAACUCUAGCAGCACAAUAUACUGGCGCAAUAUUGGGAAAUAAUGUAAAUCACCCUGGCUGAGGUAUCAGCCUCAGUGGUCGAAUUAG
Molecule: long non-coding RNA, 542 nt
Organism: Vollenhovia emeryi
Lineage: Eukaryota; Metazoa; Arthropoda; Insecta; Hymenoptera; Formicidae
Exons: 3
Source: RefSeq, a predicted model, not a curated record